Molecule: ribosomal RNA, 304 nt
Filed under: uncultured bacterium
Lineage: Bacteria
Description: partial 16S ribosomal RNA
Rfam family: Bacterial small subunit ribosomal RNA
Source: RNAcentral
CAGCAGCAGCCGCGGGAAUACAGAGGGUGCGAGCGUUAAUCGGAUUUACUGGGCGUAAAGCGUGCGUAGGCGGCUUUUUAAGUCGGAUGUGAAAUCCCUGAGCUUAACUUAGGAAUUGCAUUCGAUACUGGGAAGCUAGAGUAUGGGAGAGGAUGGUAGAAUUCCAGGUGUAGCGGUGAAAUGCGUAGAGAUCUGGAGGAAUACCGAUGGCGAAGGCAGCCAUCUGGCCUAAUACUGACGCUGAGGUACGAAAGCAUGGGGAGCAAACAGGAUUAGAUACCCCUGUAGUCCCUGUCUCUUAUAC